RNAcentral lists this ribosomal RNA (421 nucleotides) under uncultured bacterium. RNAcentral's name for it is "bacterial SSU rRNA". It matches the Rfam family "Bacterial small subunit ribosomal RNA", at positions 356 to 774 of the family's 1533-position model. The record is from RNAcentral.
AAGGAAUAUUGGACAAUGGACGCAAGUCUGAUCCAGCCAUGCCGCGUGAAGGAUGAAUGCCCUCUGGGUUGUAAACUUCUUUUAUAGGGGAAGAAAGAUACUUUUUUUAAGGUAGUUGACGGUACCCUAUGAAUAAGCACCGGCUAACUCCGUGCCAGCAGCCGCGGUAAUACGGAGGGUGCAAGCGUUAUCCGGAUUUACUGGGUUUAAAGGGUGCGUAGGCGGGCAUGUAAGUCAGUGGUGAAAUACCGGAGCUUAACUUCGGAACUGCCAUUGAUACUGUAUGUCUUGAAUAUUGUGGAGGUAAGCGGAAUAUGUCAUGUAGCGGUGAAAUGCAUAGAUAUGACAUAGAACACCGAUUGCGGAGGCAGCUUGCUACGCAAAUAUUGACGCUGAGGCACGAAAGCGUUGGGAUCAAACA